RNAcentral lists this ribosomal RNA (356 nucleotides) under Chitinophagaceae bacterium. RNAcentral describes it as "bacterial SSU rRNA". It matches the Rfam family "Bacterial small subunit ribosomal RNA", at positions 1 to 347 of the family's 1533-position model. Lineage: Bacteria; Pseudomonadati; Bacteroidota; Chitinophagia; Chitinophagales; Chitinophagaceae. The record is from RNAcentral.
UUUACAAUGGAGAGUUUGAUCCUGGCUCAGGAUGAACGCUAGCGGCAGGCUUAAUACAUGCAAGUCGAGGGGCAGCAGGGGUGUAGCAAUACACUCGCUGGCGACCGGCAAACGGGUGCGGAACACGUACGCAACCUACCCAUAACUGGGGAAUAGCCCGGGGAAACCCGGAUUAAUACCUCGUAACCUGGUGAAGUGGCAUCACUUUAUCAGUAUAGCUCCGGCGGUUAUGGAUGGGCGUGCGCCUGAUUAGGUAGUUGGCGGGGUAACGGCCCACCAAGCCUGCGAUCAGUAACUGGUGUGAGAGCACGACCAGUCACACGGGCACUGAGACACGGGCCCGACUCCUACGGGAG